Molecule: ribosomal RNA, 719 nt
Filed under: Alternaria alternata
Lineage: Eukaryota; Fungi; Ascomycota; Dothideomycetes; Pleosporales; Pleosporaceae
Description: SSU rRNA
Rfam family: Eukaryotic small subunit ribosomal RNA
Source: RNAcentral
UCUCGUUAGCAUUAUACCGUGAAACUGCGAAUGGCUCAUUAAAUCAGUUAUCGUUUAUUUGAUAAUACCUUACUACUUGGAUAACCGUGGUAAUUCUAGAGCUAAUACAUGCUGAAAAUCCCGACUUCGGAAGGGAUGUGUUUAUUAGAUAAAAAACCAAUGCCCUUCGGGGCUUUUUGGUGAUUCAUGAUAACUUUACGGAUCGCAUAGCCUUGCGCUGGCGACGGUUCAUUCAAAUUUCUGCCCUAUCAACUUUCGAUGGUAAGGUAUUGGCUUACCAUGGUUUCAACGGGUAACGGGGAAUUAGGGUUCGAUUCCGGAGAGGGAGCCUGAGAAACGGCUACCACAUCCAAGGAAGGCAGCAGGCGCGCAAAUUACCCAAUCCCGACACGGGGAGGUAGUGACAAUAAAUACUGAUACAGGGCUCUUUUGGGUCUUGUAAUUGGAAUGAGUACAAUUUAAACCUCUUAACGAGGAACAAUUGGAGGGCAAGUCUGGUGCCAGCAGCCGCGGUAAUUCCAGCUCCAAUAGCGUAUAUUAAAGUUGUUGCAGUUAAAAAGCUCGUAGUUGAAACUUGGGCCUGGCUGGCGGGUCCGCCUCACCGCGUGCACUCGUCCGGCCGGGCCUUCCUUCUGAAGAACCUCAUGCCCUUCACUGGGCGUGCUGGGGAAUCAGGACUUUUACUUUGAAAAAAUUAGAGUGUUCAAAGCAGGCCUUUG